This 88-nucleotide ribosomal RNA is filed under the name Escherichia coli. The record is from RNAcentral. Lineage: Bacteria; Pseudomonadati; Pseudomonadota; Gammaproteobacteria; Enterobacterales; Enterobacteriaceae.
CUGACCCCAUGCCGAACUCAGAAGUGAAACGCCGUAGCGCCGAUGGUAGUGUGGGGUCUCCCCAUGCAAGAGUAGGGAACUGCCAGGC